This 587-nucleotide ribosomal RNA is filed under the name uncultured bacterium. RNAcentral describes it as "partial 16S ribosomal RNA". It matches the Rfam family "Bacterial small subunit ribosomal RNA", at positions 355 to 1375 of the family's 1533-position model. The record is from RNAcentral.
UGGGGAAUUUUGGACAAUGGGCGAAAGCCUGAUCCAGCAAUGCCGCGUGUGUGAAGAAGGCCUUCGGGUUGUAAAGCACUUUUGUCCGGAAAGAAAUCCUUGGCUCUAAUACAGUCGGGGGAUGACGGUACCGGAAGAAUAAGCACCGGCUAACUACGUGCCAGCAGCCGCGGUAAUACGUAGGGUGCAAGCGUUAAUCGGAAUUACUGGGCGUAAAGCGUGCGCAGGCGGUUUGCUAAGACCGAUGUGAAAUCCCCGGGCUCAACCUGGGAACUGCAUUGGUGACUGGCAGGCUAGAGUAUGGCAGAGGGGGGUAGAAUUCCACGUGUAGCAGUGAAAUGCGUAGAGAUGUGGAGGAAUACCGAUGGCGAAGGCAGCCCCCUGGGCCAAUACUGACGCUCAUGCACGAAAGCGUGGGGAGCAAACAGGAUUAGAUACCCUGGGUAGUCCACGCCCUAAACGAUGUCAACUAGUUGUUGGGGAUUCAUUUCCUUAGUAACGUAGCUAACGCGUGAAGUUGACCGCCUGGGGGAGUACGGUCGCAAGAUUAAAACUCAAAUGAAUUGACGGGGUCAUAGCUGUUUCCU